GCCAUUAUCAAGGUUCAUUUACAAGAGUACCGAAAGGUUUAGAUAGUGUGGACGACUUCGACUUUGGAUCUCCCGAGUCCGAUAGUUCACGAACAAAAUCUAUAAAACAGGGAAUGAAGGCAAAAAGAGUAAGCAUUUCGAUGCUUAGUAAGUCUUAAGUAAUGAAAUCAUUUAUAACUAAAGCAUAGCAUUCAUAAGGCUCAUCAUCUUUCUGACUAAAUGUAGUCAUGAUUAAAUAUACCCCUAUUGUUCAUACAUGUCAUCUUAAAUUUUUCCUUAAACACGAAUUCGUAUCAUGUAGAUAAUCUCUUUUUACCCAACUAACCUCAUAA
RNAcentral lists this long non-coding RNA (332 nucleotides) under Gossypium barbadense (sea-island cotton). RNAcentral's name for it is "long non-coding RNA (GBAR_LNC011479)". Lineage: Eukaryota; Viridiplantae; Streptophyta; Magnoliopsida; Malvales; Malvaceae. The record is from RNAcentral.